AUCCAACCGACGAGUCCAAAAAAGGACGAAACGUGCGUGUUGGAU
RNAcentral lists this non-coding RNA (45 nucleotides) under Schistosoma mattheei. Lineage: Eukaryota; Metazoa; Platyhelminthes; Trematoda; Strigeidida; Schistosomatidae. The record is from RNAcentral.